Molecule: ribosomal RNA, 497 nt
Filed under: uncultured bacterium
Lineage: Bacteria
Description: partial 16S ribosomal RNA
Rfam family: Bacterial small subunit ribosomal RNA
Source: RNAcentral
GAUGAACGCUGGCGGCGUGCCUAAUACAUGCAAGUCGAGCGAACAGACGAGGAGCUUGCUCCUUUGACGUUAGCGGCGGACGGGUGAGUAAAACGUGGAUAACCUACCUAUAAGACUGGGAUAACUUCGGGAAACCGGAGCUAAUACCGGAUAACAUGUUGAACCGCAUGGUUCAACAGUGAAAGACGGUCUUGCUGUCACUUAUCGAUGGAUCCGCGCCGCAGUAGCUAGUUGGUAAGGUAACGGCUUACCAAGGCAACGAUGCGUAGCCGGCCUGAGAGGGUGAUCGGCCACACUGGAACUGAGACACGGUCCAGACUCCUACGGGAGGCAGCAGUAGGGAAUCUUCCGCAAUGGGCGAAGGCCUGACGGAGCAACGCCGCGUGAGUGAAGAAGGUCUUCGGAUCGUAAAACUCUGUUAUUAGGGAAGAACAAAUGUGUAAGUAACUGUGCACGUCUUGACGGUACCUAAUCAGAAAGCCACGGCUAACUACGUG